RNAcentral lists this small nucleolar RNA (158 nucleotides) under Nannospalax galili (Upper Galilee mountains blind mole rat). The record is from RNAcentral. Lineage: Eukaryota; Metazoa; Chordata; Mammalia; Rodentia; Spalacidae.
CUAGCAUUCAGUGAGUUCUGGGCUUUGAGACUUUGUUUCAAAAACUAAGCAAGAACUUCUGGGUGUAGGAAGUGUGCUACACUGAUAGUACAAUUUUCACUAACACCAGUAGAGCUUGCCUCUAUGGCUGGAGUUUGGUAGUGAUUACUGCCAUAUGC